Leopardus geoffroyi (Geoffroy's cat) is the source of this 725-nucleotide long non-coding RNA. RefSeq lists it as uncharacterized. The record is from RefSeq and is a predicted model, not a curated record. The transcript is spliced from 4 exons. Lineage: Eukaryota; Metazoa; Chordata; Mammalia; Carnivora; Felidae.
GGAAAACCAGCCUGCACAAACGAUGACAUGAAAAGGCAGAAUCCUGGGCCGGUGCAUCUUAAUCCCAGGCUCUACCCCUGGUGUCACCUACCAAGCCUGUUUCUGGAUGGAAAAAACCUGUGGAAGUAACCGUUGCAUUGAAAGGAAUCCAUUAAUUAUGUAUCUGGAUUAUGGUGGUGAUUACAUGAAUCUACAUGAGAUAAAAUGACACAGAACUAUACAGACUCAAGAUACCAUGUAUGCUUCCCGAUUUAUGGAUAUUGUACCACAGUGAUCUAAGAUGUAACCAAUGAGAGACACUGGAUGAAAGCAAUUAUUUUUGAGGUACCUGUUGUGUGAUCCUUUGGGGCCCUGCAGUUACAAACGUGGUGAAGUUUACAGUCUCUGCAAAUCAGCUCACAAAGAGGCCCUAGAAUUAGCCAAAACCUCUAUUUAACCAGACUGGAAAUAACAACUGACAAGGAUACAGAAUGCCUCACUUGAGGCAUAGAGACACAGAGCUUUUGAAGCUUACGAACAGACUAAUUUAAGCUGGACGAACUCAAGUCAGUGACUGUGAUUUUGUUGCAGUUUGUGAACUGGUUCUCCCUUCACAGCGCUGUCGUCUACAGGAUUCAAGAGCUGAGGAGGAGGACGAAGUCGAGGUAGAAACGGUUCUCCUCCACACCUCACACAUCAAAGUGUAUUUAUAAACAUAUUGGUUAUGUGAGCAGGACGCAUCAUUG